This is a non-coding RNA of Notechis scutatus (mainland tiger snake), 108 nucleotides long. Lineage: Eukaryota; Metazoa; Chordata; Lepidosauria; Squamata; Elapidae. The record is from RefSeq and is a predicted model, not a curated record.
CCUGCUGCUCGCUUCUUAGUAGUCCUCGACUUACAACAGUUCAUUUAGUGACUGUUCGAAGUUACCGCAGCACUGAAAAAGGCGACUUAUGACCGUCUUCCACACUUA